Molecule: ribosomal RNA, 255 nt
Filed under: uncultured bacterium
Lineage: Bacteria
Description: partial 16S ribosomal RNA
Rfam family: Bacterial small subunit ribosomal RNA
Source: RNAcentral
UACAGAGGGUGCGAGCGUUGUUCGGAAUUACUGGGCGUAAAGCGUGCGCAGGCGGCUAUGCAAGACAGAUGUGAAAUCCCCGGGCUCAACCUGGGAAUUGCGUUGGAGACUGCAAGGCUAGAAUCUGGCAGAGGGGGGUAGAAUUCCACGUGUAGCAGUGAAAUGCGUAGAGAUGUGGAGGAACACCGAUGGCGCAAGGCAGCCCCCUGGGAUCGAAGAUUGACGCUCAUGCACGAAAGGCGUGGGGAGCAAACG